GUGAGAGAGUCAGCCGGGAGGAGAAGUGCAAAGCAGCCUAAAUGCAAUCUACUCUAAUUGAGGCACGGUAUAUGCUCCACCAUGUUCUGCAAUGUAGCAUUAUGGAACAUUAGUGCCUCUUCAAGUGGAGUCUACAAUCUAAUUUCCCUGGAGUCUGGAGCAUCUGGAGGAGAGAGGACCCACUCCAUACAGAUUCCUGUUCAUCAUAACAGUUGGAAAUUCUAAAUGUAUUCAAACUUGUUCUUGUGUGAAGUUUUCUUCUUCUGAGGCACAACACAAGUAUUUAUAGGCACAAAGUAAACGUAAAGUCACCAAAUACAUAGGACUAAAAUCUCCUAAGGUGACAGCAGAUUGUAAAUUUGAUACAAGGAAGCCCGAGGCAAGGUGAGAAUGACUGUAAAUAAGCUUCCACAGAAAAAGAAUGUGCCUCUCCCAGUUUCUAGCCAACAUAUAACAAACAGCCCGAGGGCUGCAUAACUUCUAUAAGGAUGGACUGAAUCUGUUGUCGUGAGAGCUGUU
Long non-coding RNA from Pseudophryne corroboree (corroboree frog), 519 nucleotides. RefSeq lists it as uncharacterized. The record is from RefSeq and is a predicted model, not a curated record. Lineage: Eukaryota; Metazoa; Chordata; Amphibia; Anura; Myobatrachidae. The transcript has 3 exons.